GCGGAUGUGGCCAAGUGGAUCAGGGCGGU
RNAcentral lists this transfer RNA (29 nucleotides) under Elatostema tianeense. RNAcentral's name for it is "partial tRNA-His". Lineage: Eukaryota; Viridiplantae; Streptophyta; Magnoliopsida; Rosales; Urticaceae. The record is from RNAcentral.